AUGCGGCUGCUGGUUCUCCUCGCGGCUCCUCUCUCCGUGCUCCUCCUGCACACGGCGGCCGUGGCCCCCAUGGCCCGGCUGGAGCGCUGGGUCCGCUCCGGCCUCCAGGCGCUGCACUGGGACCAGCUGGAGCGGUGCCUCCGCAGGGGGUCCCAGUCGGAGGCCGAGUGCCGGCGUCUCGCCCACCUGCCGGCGGCGGCCGUGGCCGUGUACGUGUCGGAGCCUCCGGCUGCUGCAGGCGCGGCAGACAAGGUCCUGGCCAUCCUGCCCGACUCGUCCGGGGGGGCGCCGGCCUCCAAGCCGAGGGGGGGCUUCAGCCUCGGCCAGCUCAGCAACGCAGGUGACGGCCCCCACCGGCACCAGCAGCCGCCCCCCGACUCCACGGCCCACGACGCCGUGCUGGUGCUGGACCCCAGUCCGGGGGAGAACUUUGGCCACCCGCUGGUCCUGUUCUACGUGGACGUGAACGUGACCAAGAAGAGGUGCUCCCACCUGGACGGCAUCUACCUGGGUGAGGAGUGUCUGACGCUGGCCCUGAAGGGCCGCUGUCAGAACCAGCUGAAGCGCCGGCAGGCCGCGCCAGAGAGGCUUCUGGGUAACGGGCGCUCGGCGGUGGGGGCGCUGCGCGGAGGCCCGGGGGCCGGCGGAGGCAGCCGCCUGGUGGAGCGCGCCAUCGGAGGACUCUGCGAGGUCAACUUCCUUCCCCUGGUGGUUGGCGUCGCCGACGGCAACGGCACCCAGAGACUGCGAUGCGUGGACCACGCGGAGUUCGCGGCGUGUCCCCGGCCGCUGGCGCUCGGCGCCCCCGCGCCGCCCGUCUCCAGCUGCGAGCUGAACAAGAACACCAGGCGCUGCCACCAGCAGCCGCUGGCCACGCACCUCUCCUGCCGCCUCUACCAGACGUGCGACCACGCCGUGCUGCUCUCAGGGGGCUGGCAGCAGCAGAUCACCUUCCAGCGCCACCUCCAGAACCUGCAGAGGUUUUACCGGAUGCUCCGCAGCAACGGCUUCCACAAGGACCACAUCAAGACCUUCUUUGCCAGCAGCGGACAGCUUCCUGACGACCUGGAGGGCGUGCACUCGGCGACGGAGAAGGCCGUGAUCCGGAACCACGUGUCGUACGUCUGCAGGAAGCAGCACUGCGCCGACACGCUGGUUCUGUACCUGAACUCCCCCACCCGCACCGACGGCACCAUGCUGCUGUGGGACGCCAACCUCAACGGCAUCGCGGACCUGAAGGAGCGCUACUCGGUCAACGAGCUGCUGGCGGACCUGGCCGGCUGCAGGGCCACGCGGGUUCUGCUCUUUGUGGACCAGAGCUACAGCGGCGUUCUGUCCAAGAGGCUGCGCGGCUCCCAGAAGCACCUCAACGUGGUCCUGAUCCAGGGCCAGACGCGGCAGACCCACAGCCACCAGAACCAGAGGUCGAGCCCAGGCUGGGAGGACAGCGGCUGGUCCCUGAUCGGCCCUGGCACCUGCCUGCUGGACCACCUGGGGAAGGGCCCGGGGACGAGCCGCGUACCAGAACCCUGGGCCGGCCUGAUGAACGUGACGCUGGCCGGCGCCCCCUGCAACGUCACGCCGCCGCUGACUGACGGGGAGAUGCGGCGGGAGUACCAGGGCUGCCAGAACCUGCCGACCGCGCUGUGGCACCAGAAGCACCGGAGGAACAACUGAGCGGGCGAGCGACACCGGCUGCCUGGGGGAGAGAGAGAGACACACACACACACAGACACGCAAGCGCUCGCUUUGCACAGCGGCUCGUAGCUUAGGACUUUAGUUUCAGUUUGCUAGGUGGACACCAGUGUGUGCUCUCUGUCCUGUCUCUGAACUCCGACCGUAACCAUGGCGAUGACAGCUGGUCCCAACGGGAGCGUCCUCAGCAGCAUCUGAGCAGCGUGUGUGUUUGUGUUUGUGAGUUCAGCAAGAGGACAUCCUCUCUCUGAGACCAUUGCUAGCUCACACUUGGGUGUGUGUGUGUGUGUGUGUGUGUGUGUGUGUGUGUGUGUGUGUGUGUGUGUGUGUGUGUGUGUGUGUGUGUGUUGGUCACAUCUCCAGGGCACUUUAACAUUUCAGAUCCAAUCAUCUGCUUCUAUUUUUAUCUUCAUAUCAUUCAUGUUUUCCUCCUUCCUCGUCCUCUACUUGACCGUUCUCCUCCACCUUUCUCCAUCACGCCUCCUCCCUCCUUCUGCUUAUUAGUCUUGUAUCAUCUGCUUUUUACUUUUACAAUCUUGCACUUUUCUUCCUUUUGUGCUUUUUGCUCCCACUUUCCCCAGUAUCUUAUUAACUAAUUGUAAAGCAGUAGAAGUGAAUCACGUUCAAACUGUUGAGUGACUACGACUCGUAUGUGUGUUUGCCAAGCGUCUAGUCUUAGUGUUUGCUGUAUUUGAGCCGUGCUGCGGAGGAGGUGAAGCUGCAGACGCAGGGACGGAGACAGAGAGCGGCUGCUCGACGCCAUGAUCAAGGCACGAAGCGCGGACGCCCUCACCGCUGCUCCGAUGGCACGGAGCACGCGUGUGCUCCGUCACAUGACGCACGCCUCCAACAUGUCCUGCUCCGUGCGGGUCCUCCUCACAGUCACCGCAGUCACGCUCCCUCGCUUCCUGCCGCGUGUCGCACCGCGUUCCUUGUUCGUUCAAUUCAAGAGACGAUUCGGACCAGAACCAACAGGUUGACGUGCAUAGUCACCGUUUUGUGUAUGGAUCUGUGAAUACCAGAUGUAAAGUAGCUGAAACGCCUCCGGCUGCAUGCAGCAAGUCACAAAGUGUAGUCAAUAAAGUAGCUUGAGAAAACGGGUACA
This 2800-nucleotide long non-coding RNA is filed under the name Betta splendens (Siamese fighting fish). RNAcentral describes it as "lncRNA (ENSBSLG00000019581.1)". The record is from RNAcentral. Lineage: Eukaryota; Metazoa; Chordata; Actinopteri; Anabantiformes; Osphronemidae.